CCGACUCGCUCGUCGGCGUCGUCACAGACUGAGCGACGACGUCACCGUCAGUCUGGACUGAGCCACAUUCGAUCGGCGAGUUACACUGUUAGCUUGUUAGCUGUCAAACAAUAAACAGUCCAAGUUUCAUCGUUGGGUUUAAAAAGGCGACACUCGACAGCACACACCCCUGCGUCCAAAGACAAGUGGUUCGAUCCGGUGCGCGACUCAGACUGCUGGAAUUGCUAAUAAUCAGGUGGGCUUUCCAAGGAGCGUUGAAGCUUUUUCAAAGAAGCGCUCGCGAUUUUUGACAGCUGUCCCAAAAUUCAGUUGAAAUGGUCCGCUCUCGGGAUGU
Molecule: long non-coding RNA, 334 nt
Organism: Hippocampus zosterae (dwarf seahorse)
Lineage: Eukaryota; Metazoa; Chordata; Actinopteri; Syngnathiformes; Syngnathidae
Exons: 2
Source: RefSeq, a predicted model, not a curated record